AGUGAACGCUGGCGGUAGGCCUAACACAUGCAAGUCGAACGGCAGCACAGUAAGAGCUUGCUCUUACGGGUGGCGAGUGGCGGACGGGUGAGGAAUACAUCGGAAUCUACUUUUUUGUGGGGGAUAACGUAGGGAAACUUACGCUAAUACAGCAUACGACCUACGGGUGAAAGCAGGGGAUCUUCGGACCCGGCGGGGUUGGAUGGGCCGGUGGCGGAUUAGCUUGUUGGUGGGGUAGUGGCCCACCAAGGCGACGAUGGGUAGCCGGUCUGAGAGGGUGGCCGGCCACAUUGGGACUGAGAUACGGCCCAGACUCCUACGGGAGGCAGCAGUGGGGAAUAUUGCACAAUGGGCGGAAGCCUGAUGCAGCAACGCCGCGUGCGGGAUGACGGCCUUCGGGUUGUAAACCGCUUUCGCCUGUGACGAAGCGUGAGUGACGGUAAUGGGUAAAGAAGCACCGGCUAACUACGUG
This 472-nucleotide ribosomal RNA is filed under the name uncultured bacterium. Its description in RNAcentral is "partial 16S ribosomal RNA". It matches the Rfam family "Bacterial small subunit ribosomal RNA", at positions 30 to 507 of the family's 1533-position model. The record is from RNAcentral.